Molecule: ribosomal RNA, 255 nt
Filed under: Salmonella enterica subsp. enterica serovar Muenchen
Lineage: Bacteria; Pseudomonadati; Pseudomonadota; Gammaproteobacteria; Enterobacterales; Enterobacteriaceae
Also listed under: 3 other names
Description: partial 23S ribosomal RNA
Rfam family: Bacterial large subunit ribosomal RNA
Source: RNAcentral
GCAGUGUACCCGCGGCAAGACGGAAAGACCCCGUGAACCUUUACUAUAGCUUGACACUGAACAUUGAGCCUUGAUGUGUAGGAUAGGUGGGAGGCUUUGAAGCGUGGACGCCAGUCUGCGUGGAGCCAACCUUGAAAUACCACCCUUUAAUGUUUGAUGUUCUAACGUGGACCCGUAAUCCGGGUUGCGGACAGUGUCUGGUGGGUAGUUUGACUGGGGCGGUCUCCUCCUAAAGAGUAACGGAGGAGCACGAAG